ACGAACGCUGGCGGCGUGCUUAACACAUGCAAGUGGAGCGACGAACCAGGGCUUGCCCUGGGGCAGAGCCGCGAACGGGUGAGUAACACGUGGGUUACCUGCCCCGAUGACCGGGACAACCCGUCGAAAGACGGGCUAAUACCGGAUGUGCCCUUAGGGGUAAAGGAAGCUUCGGCCUCCGCAUCGGGAUGGGCCCGCGGCCCAUUAGCUUGUUGGUGGGGUAACGGCCUACCAAGGCAACGAUGGGUAGCUGGUCUGAGAGGACGAUCAGCCACACUGGGACUGAGACACGGCCCAGACUCCUACGGGAGGCAGCAGUGGGGAAUCUUGCACAAUGCGCGAAAGCGUGAUGCAGCAACGCCGCGUGGGGGAAGAAGGCCUUCGGGUUGUAAACCUCUUUCAGUUGGGACGAAGGUUCUACGGUUAAUAGCCGUGGGGACUGACGGUACCUUCAGAAGAAGCCCCGGCUAACUACGU
Molecule: ribosomal RNA, 477 nt
Filed under: uncultured bacterium
Lineage: Bacteria
Description: bacterial SSU rRNA
Rfam family: Bacterial small subunit ribosomal RNA
Source: RNAcentral